Molecule: non-coding RNA, 2387 nt
Organism: Peromyscus maniculatus bairdii (prairie deer mouse)
Lineage: Eukaryota; Metazoa; Chordata; Mammalia; Rodentia; Cricetidae
Source: RefSeq, a predicted model, not a curated record
AUGGCGACGGCGGAGGACCCGCGGACGUCACCGGAGCCCGCGGAGCUGCCGGCCGCCGUACGCGCGAGCGUGGAGCGGAAGCGGCAGCGGGCGCUGAUGCUGCGCCAGGCCCGGCUGGCAGCGCGGCCAUACCCCGCGGCGGCGGCGGCCACCGGAGGCAUGACCAGUGUAAAAGUCCCUCCCAGAAUGAUUGACACCAAAGGAGGCUUCAUUUUAGAAGAGGAGGAGGAAGAGGAACACAAGAUUGGAAAUGUUGUUCAUGACCCAGGGCCCGUCAUGGAGUUUGAUUAUGUGGUCUGUGAAGAAUGUGGGAAAGAUUUCAUGGACUCCUAUCUUAUGAACCACUUUGAUUUGCCGACGUGUGACAGCUGCAGAGAUGCUGAUGACAAACACAGGCUUAUAACCAAAACAGAAGCCAAGCAGGAAUACCUUCUGAAAGACUGCGAUCUCGAGAAGAGAGAGCCUGCCCUUCGGUUUAUCGUGAAGAAGAACCCGCGUCACGCACAGUGGGGCGAUAUGAAGCUCUACUUAAAGUUACAGGUUGUAAAGCGGGCUCUGGAAGUUUGGGGCAGCCAGGAAGCCCUGGAAGAUGCCAAGGAAGUGAGGCAGGAAAACCGAGAAAAGAUGAAGCAGAAGAAGUUUGACAAAAAAGUAAAAGUGCUUGGUGGAUAUGUUCCUGUCCUGACUAGGCCACAGAGGGCUGAGUGGAGUAGACUGUAGAGUAGAAACGAGAAGCUGAUUGUGCAGUUUGCUCAGAGCAGACAGGAGUCAAAGCAAGUCGAAAGGCUUUUUAGGUGGAAAGAAAUUGGAACAUGGUUCCUCUUGAUGCACAGCGAAGCAGACAUAAAGCUUUCUUCUUUAUGGGAAGGGCUCAUUCUAUGCAGGGAGGAACCUGAGAACCUGGCUGCAUAAUAGAAAGGAAGUGAUGCAUCUUCCAUCAUUGCACUUCCUGUCCUGGUGGCUCCUUAGCCCUGAGCACGCCGCUCCACUCCCUGUCCUUAGGCUUUGGACCGCUUGUUUGGAAAAGGAGAGAAGGGCAAAGAAAAGCCAAACUGAACAGCAGAGCGGGUUAGACAUCUCUAAUCUGAAAAUCCAAAGUGCUCCAAAAAGAAAUACUGCCAGCAAGGAAACCCCAUGCCCAGGCACUAGAAAUACAUCAGGUACAUCAAGCUAUAUGUUUUGUUAAGACUCAGGUCCCAUCAGACAUAUUCUGUAUAUGCAGAUUUUUCAAAAUCUAAAAGUAUCCACCAAACACUUUCAAGACUUGGCUCCGUGAUGCCCAGCCUGUGCUUCCACCUCUACCAGGAAUGUCUGUGAGAAGCACUGCAGGUCCAGCCUUAUUCUAGUGUAGUUAAAUAGCUCGUUGUCACAAAAGUGACAACGAUGGGGCUGGAGAGAUGGCUCAGAGGUUAAGAGCACCGACUGCUCUUCCAAAGGUCCUGAGUUCAAUUCCCAGCAACCACAUGGUGUCUCACAACCAUCUGUAAUGAGAUCUGGCGCCCUCUUCUGUAUACAUAAUAAAUAAAUAAAUCUUAAAAAAAAAAAAAAAAAAAAAAAGUGACAACGAAAAUGUCAGUCUUCAGCCAUGGCUGAAAAGAUAGUUUUUCAUGUACGUAGUACAUCUGAGAAGAAAAUAAUUCUUACCUCUUCCUCAAGUACAUAUAAUAUUCAAAUCUGGCAGAGAAGGCAGCUUAGUCUGAUUGUACUGCAGCCUAAUUUUGAGGGACUUUUCACUGUGGGAAGUCAAGGAGAGUGGCAGGCUGUCUUCCCCCACCCAAGCUGAGAAGCAGGAACCCACAGAGGAGAUGUCUGCUGCCCCUCUGCAGACAAGAGGCACACUGACUCACUCAGGUAGCAGAGAGCAGACUUGAUGAUAUAAAAUGACGAAGAUUAGAGUGUAGAUGACUGACUUUCCUAGCAGAUGCUGCACACACUGAACCUUGUAAAUCUCAAAGUGGUGUAAAGGCAGCAGGACCCAAGGAAGAAUGCUGCCCAGGGCCAGGAUGAUCCCAGGGACCUAAGCUGGACUGUACACCUGCUCAUCAGCCCACUUUUGCCUUGGUUUGCCUAUCUGUAAAACACUGGAUGCAGCUCUCUGUAAUUACCCAAGAGAUGUAAAGUAAAUGCAUCUUAAGUGCUUAGCCCAGUGUCCAGUAUGUCACCCUGUCUUGCUGUUACCCGUGAUACUGUGAUUGGAAACAAAGAUUCAAGUAGUGCUAUGAUAUUAGUUACAAACCAUCUCAAGGAAAACCAGCAACCCCUGGAAUCUGAAGUUACUGGUUGUGAGCCAACUGGCAUGGUUGCUAGGAAUCAGUCUCAAGUCCUCUGGAAGGGCAGUAUGAGCUCCUAACCACUGAGCCACCUCUCCAGCCCUUGGCAGUCUGUUU